This 253-nucleotide ribosomal RNA is filed under the name uncultured bacterium. Its description in RNAcentral is "partial 16S ribosomal RNA". It matches the Rfam family "Bacterial small subunit ribosomal RNA", at positions 524 to 776 of the family's 1533-position model. The record is from RNAcentral.
UACGUAGGCAGCGAGCGUUGUUCGGAAUUACUGGGCGUAAAGAGUGUGUAGGCGGUGCUCUAAGUUCGGUGUGAAAUCUCCCGGCUUAACUGGGAGGGUGCGCCGGAAACUGGAGUGCUCGAGCGUGGGAGAGGAAAGCGGAAUUCCUGGUGUAGCGGUGAAAUGCGUAGAUAUCAGGAGGAACACCUGCGGUGUAGACGGCUUUCUGGACCAUAACUGACGCUGAUGCACGAAAGCUAGGGGAGCAAACAGG